CUUUCCGCUCCAACGCACGGAGGGUGAGGUCGGUACGCGGUGGUGGCGUCACGGCGCCAGCUCCUCCCGACGCCGAGGUGGGUUCCGGGAGACCCGCGGGUCUGGCUGCGAGAGAUUGGGUAACUCAAGGCGUCCCUGGAGUACACUGAGGAUAAGUGUUUGAGAAAUGCUGUCUGAAGGAAUGAAGUCAGUCUAUGACAACGUCUCUCUGCCGUGAAUCAUUCCUGCAGAUGAAAAAGUGUGACUUGGCAGCUGGAGCCGGCGCACGUGCAGGAGCCACCAGUGGUGCAGGAGCAGUUGGGGUCCAUUUCAAGCCGCGGUAAGGCUGGAGAUCUCAAGCGAUAAUGGAGAGACAGCAAGGCGCACGUGGACGGCGUGUUCACCAAUUACCAAACUUUUUGACCUGAGCAACUAGAAGAAUGGAGUUGCCAUUAUUUGACACAAAGAAGACUGCAGGAGGGACAGGUUUGAGUAGAAAUAUGAAGAGCUCACCCAAGUGGAUGUGAGACAGGAUCUCACUCUGUCACCCAGGCUGGAGUGCACUGG
Molecule: long non-coding RNA, 546 nt
Filed under: Homo sapiens (human)
Lineage: Eukaryota; Metazoa; Chordata; Mammalia; Primates; Hominidae
Description: non-protein coding lnc-MMP24OS-73:8
Source: RNAcentral